This 395-nucleotide ribosomal RNA is filed under the name uncultured bacterium. RNAcentral describes it as "partial 16S ribosomal RNA". It matches the Rfam family "Bacterial small subunit ribosomal RNA", at positions 338 to 730 of the family's 1533-position model. The record is from RNAcentral.
CCUACGGGCGGCAGCAGUGAGGAAUAUUGGUCAAUGGUCGGGAGACUGAACCAGCCAAGCCGCGUGAGGGAAGAAGGUUCUGUGUAUUGUAAACUUCUUUUGUAAAGGGAUAAAGGUGGGGACGUGUCCCCAGAUGAGUGUACUUUAAGAAAAAGGAUCGGCUAACUCCGUGCCAGCAGCCGCGGUAAUACGGAGGAUGCGAGCGUUAUCCGGAUUUAUUGGGUUUAAAGGGUGCGGAGGCGGGUUGUUAAGUUAGCGGUGAAAGGUCGGGGCUCAACCCCGGAACUGCCUUUGAUACUGGCAGUCUAGAGUUGGGGUGAGGUAGGCGGAAUGCGUGGUGUAGCGGUGAAAUGCAUAGAUAUCGCGCAGAACUCCGAUUGCGAAGGCAGCAUACC